This 398-nucleotide ribosomal RNA is filed under the name uncultured archaeon CR-PA16a. RNAcentral describes it as "bacterial SSU rRNA". It matches the Rfam family "Archaeal small subunit ribosomal RNA", at positions 31 to 435 of the family's 1478-position model. The record is from RNAcentral.
UAUCGGAUUGGUACUAAGCCAUGCGAGUCGUUGUAGCAAUACAAGGCAGACGGCUCAGUAACGCGUAGUCAAUCUACCCUAUGGACGGAGAUAAUCUCGGGAAACUGAGAAUAAUAUCCGAUAGAACAUUAUGCCUGGAAUGGUUUAUGUUUCAAAUGAUUUAUCGCCAUAGGAUGGGACUGCGUCCUAUCAGUUUGUUGGUGAGGUAAUGGCCCACCAAGACUAUUACAGGUACGGGCUCUGAGAGGAGUAGCCCGGAGAUGGGUACUGAGACACGGACCCAGGCCCUAUGGGGCGCAGCAGGCGAGAAAACUUUGCAAUGUGCGAAAGCACGACAAGGUUAAUCCGAGUGGUUUCUGCUAAAGAAACCUUUUGUCAGUCCUAGAAACACUAACGAA